This 406-nucleotide ribosomal RNA is filed under the name uncultured bacterium. RNAcentral's name for it is "partial 16S ribosomal RNA". It matches the Rfam family "Bacterial small subunit ribosomal RNA", at positions 30 to 526 of the family's 1533-position model. The record is from RNAcentral.
AUUGAACGCUGGCGGCAGGCCUAACACAUGCAAGUCGAACGAGUGGCGGACGGGUGAGUAAUGUCUGGGAAACUGCCCGAUGGAGGGGGAUAACUACUGGAAACGGUAGCUAAUACCGCAUACCAUCGGAUGUGCCCAAAUGGGAUUAGCUAGUGGGUGGGUUAAAGGCUCACCUAGGAGACGAUCCCUAGCUGGUCUGAGAGGAUGACGGGCCACACUGGAACUGAGACAGGGUCCGGACUCCUACGGGAGGCAGCAGUGGGGAAUAUUGGACAAUGGGCGCAAGCCGGAUGCAGCCAGGCCGCGUGUAUGAAGAAGGCCUUCGGGUUGUAAAGUACUUUCAGCGAGGAGGCGUUACUCGCAGAAGAAGCACCGGCUAACUCCGUGCCAGCAGCCGCGGUAAUUC